Molecule: long non-coding RNA, 866 nt
Organism: Nymphaea colorata (pocket water lily)
Lineage: Eukaryota; Viridiplantae; Streptophyta; Magnoliopsida; Nymphaeales; Nymphaeaceae
Exons: 2
Source: RefSeq, a predicted model, not a curated record
UCUCGUGCAAGAGGAAGAAAGAGGAGACACCAUCACUCCAGCAGCUCCCUCUCGAGAGGGAGGAAGAAAGAAGGGGAAAGAGGAACGCCCUUCGCAUUCCCCACGCGCUAAAUAGCAAGGAGGGGAUGGCUUCGUCUCUUCCGAUUCCCCUCUGCGACUCCGAUUCUUGUCCCUAUGAAGUCCUCCUCCUCCUGAGAAGAAUAAGGGUUCCUGUCACCCAAAAUCACCUUCCGGCAUCCGGAAGUCCAGCUCCAACCCGUCGGAAUCGCUGGAGCAGUAGCCGCCUGGGCCUGGGGUUCGUUGACCGCCGCCGGAUCCUUUUCCCGAUAGGGUUUCACCCACCUAGUUCACCACGGGUUUUGAUCUCGAGCCGGAGCAGGGUUCCCUACUGCUCCACCUGCUUCUCCGCCUCUCCCUUCUCCUUUUCACCCGGAUGCACCUCCUCAACAGGGUCCCUACUGCCCGUGCGAAGCUACUGCAACUGCGCGGCCGCUUCCUAAGCUUUGCUUCUCAUCUUUCAGGCCCUAAUCUGUCUCUGUAACGUCAAGAAGUGCGAGAUGAAUGGUUGGCGUUCCGUUUGUAAUGAGUGAUAAUUUUUUGAAGAGGCUAUUUAGUGCCUUCUACAAUCAAUUAGGUUAGGUCUUUCUACAUGAACUGCACAAAGUUACUGCCUUAAAUUGGAUGGCAGCAGGAGGCCACAAAGUUCAAUCUUUCUCUCUCUUGCAAAGGAGCUCGUGCGUUAUUCAGUAAUCAUAAUCAAGAACUCAGAAGUUUUGUAUGCUACUGAGUUCGCAAAACCUUUCUUGGUGGCAUUCUUCGUUUUCUGUGCUUGGUUUUUGAGUGAGUAUAUUAGUAUUCGUGUUUUU